CCUACGGGGGGCUGCAGUGGGGAAUAUUGGACAAUGGGCGAAAGCCUGAUCCAGCCAUGCCGCGUGUGUGAAGAAGGCCUUCGGGUUGUAUAGCACUUUCAGUGGGGAAGAAAGCCUUGGGGCUAAUACCCUCGAGGAAGGACAUCACCCACAGAAGAAGCACCGGCUAACUCCGUGCCAGCAGCCGCGGUAAUACGGAGGGUGCGAGCGUUAAUCGGAAUUACUGGGCGUAAAGCGCGCGUAGGCGGUCUGAUAAGCCGGUUGUGAAAGCCCCGGGCUCAACCUGGGAACGGCAUCCGGAACUGUCAGGCUAGAGUGCAGGAGAGGAAGGUAGAAUUCCCGGUGUAGCGGUGAAAUGCGUAGAGAUCGGGAGGAAUACCAGUGGCGAAGGCGGCCUUCUGGACUGACACUGACGCUGAGGUGCGAAAGCGUGGGUAGCAAACAGGAUUAGAUACCCCAGUAGUC
RNAcentral lists this ribosomal RNA (465 nucleotides) under Vreelandella stevensii. Its description in RNAcentral is "partial 16S ribosomal RNA". It matches the Rfam family "Bacterial small subunit ribosomal RNA", at positions 338 to 795 of the family's 1533-position model. The record is from RNAcentral. Lineage: Bacteria; Pseudomonadati; Pseudomonadota; Gammaproteobacteria; Oceanospirillales; Halomonadaceae.